CCUACGGGAGGCAGCAGUAGGGAAUAUUGCUCAAUGGGGGAAACCCUGAAGCAGCAACGCCGCGUGGAGGAUGACGGUUUUCGGAUUGUUAACUCCUUUUGUUAGAGAAGAUAAUGACGGUAUCUAACGCAUAAGCACAGGCUAACUCCGUGCCAGCAGCCGCGGGAAUACGGAGGGUGCAAGCGUUACUCGGAAUCACUGGGCGUUAAUAGCGCGUAGGCGGGAUAGAAAGUCAGACGUGAAAUCCUAUGGGUUAACCAUAGACCUGCAUUUGAAACUGUGAUUCUAGAGUAGGGGAGAGGUAGGUGGAAUUCGUGGUGGAGGGGUAAAA
Molecule: ribosomal RNA, 331 nt
Filed under: uncultured bacterium
Lineage: Bacteria
Description: partial 16S ribosomal RNA
Rfam family: Bacterial small subunit ribosomal RNA
Source: RNAcentral